AUGACUAUGAAUCAAUAACGCUGAUUAUGUAAUCACUUGUAGCUAGUGGUAGGCUAUGUGCCUGGUGAAGUUCUGCUUUUGUUUGGGUCUUUGAUCUUUUAAAAAAAUAAUCUUACAAAGAAUAAGUUUUGCUAAAGACUGAUGUUGUCUGUACUCAGAAAGAGCUAACAGUUUUGGACACACUCCAGGCUCUUAUGAAACGCCAGCAGAUGGCUGAAGGAAGUCGAAUUUCACCACAGUUUUUUUCUCUCUUUUUGCCACUCACAGUCUCCACUGAAGCCGAGGAAGAGGCCAGCGAGUCUUUGUGUUGGGGGUCAUGAUCUUUCACCAGCUGCUGGCGACCUUCCCUGCUGGGAGGUCACAUGUAGGAGCUGAGGCGUGAAGGAGUUGACAAGGGGGAUUCAAAGGAAGACGUGAAGAGAAGAGAUCAUUUUUAUCCUCGAACUCGAAGCAGCAAUGACUUCUGUAUAUAGUAUGCAUGAAGAUUGCUACAACAGUGAGCGGAUGAAAACUGGCGAAACAAGCAAAAAUAGGACGUUCUUGUUGCCACAAAAGGCCUCCAGCUUCCAUCAUCACCUGACUUUGUCUUAAUCAGGCAACGUGGGCUUCAGCUGCACAGCUGAGUGACCUUUCUUGCUUGUCAUACAGGAAAAGGAAAUGAGCUGUGCUAACAGAACAUCCAGCUUUAAUUGAAACUUCUCUGUAGAGACAUACAAAGUGCACACUCUCAAAAUCUUUAAAUAUUGCAUAAAUUAUAGGCAAUAUUGUCAACCUUUUCCUAAAUAACGUGAAAAGCUUUACCACCACUUUUCCAUCAAAAGGUGCUCAUCUGUGAAGUGUUUAAUAAAGGAUACCGCUGCCUUAUGUCAGAGAACAAAAAGCCUGUCAUUUUUACUCUACCUGCCGUGAGUGGAGAUGCAAACAAUGGUGUUGGCCUUGUCUGAAAUGCAAAGCAUGUCCUUUCACAUGCAAAGCUAUGUAAGGAGAAGGGACAAGUUCUGAUCACCCCCGCGCAUGUUUGUGUGUUUUUAAAAAUGUCGUCCCGUUGCUUUGAUGGAUGAACUUGUGUUGCUCUGACUGCAGCUUCCUGUUAUAAUUUCCAAAAUGCCUGUGAUUGUCUGUAUGUCUGUGCGUGAAUGUCAGUCCACAAAAAGGUUGAUGGAUAUCACCACGUGCUUCCUAUUUUAUAGGAAGAUGUGUGUGUGUGUGUCUCCAUGUCCAACCCCUGACUAGAGCAGUUGGACAUGCAGAGACCUGCUUUGUGUUGAGCAGGGAUAUUUUUGGACUGUUGUGUUACUGCGAGACAGACAGCCAAAGGAACUUUUAAACUUCCUUUUCAAAACCAAAAGAUACUUUUUUUAAAUUCCUCAGGUCUGGGUUGCUGGAUUGUCUGUUUAGCACCAGACUUCUAUCUUUCUAUUCAUAGUGUAGAGCUUUGCAUAAAGUGCUUUUGUAGUAGGUGCUGACAGUGGAAAAAGCGACCAGGUGGUUUCAUGGAAACACCUGCAGGAAAAUAGUUCACUGUACUCUUGAGAUUUGAGGAUGAAAGAUUCUCUUGAGGUGAAAAAGGAUACUGUCCGCUGUCAGGACUUCCUCUAGCUAUAAAACUGAGCUAACCUCCUUAUCUGAGUGCUAAAUACCAGACAUGCAAAACUUUGAGUUGAUUGGCUGUCUACAAAAGGUGAACACGGUCGGCAAAAUAAAACUGGUUGAGCGCAGAGUUUCUUAAAGUGACCAUCUAGAUAGGGGUUAAAUGCUGACAGUUAUACUCAUUUAUCAUGACUUGGUGUGAGACUGCAAUUGAGUAGUCCGCUAAAUCUUAUUUUUUUUGCACAAAAUCGCUACUUCUCAGUCUCUACAGGCGUCAGUAAGCAGGUUAAAUGUUAAAGUAAAUGACAGCACAAGUAGAAAAAGACUGAACAGGUAUGGCUUGUUUGAAACGGUUCCCUCUCUCUAAAAUGAACUUGACAGCAUGACUUUGUUUAGAUGCAGCUUUGCGAACCUAACAAGAUUUCUAGAACAACCCGGCCUCGCUUACUAAAAUGUGUGCGGAAGCAUUCCUACCUUGCACAAAAAAUGAGUUUGCAUGCAAAAUCACCAUCAUUAUGACACGUUUUGGCCAAUUUUGUUCAAUGAUUUUUGUGUGAAAUGUUCAAAUUGUUGGUUUGCAGACACGUUUUUGUGUAUUUACUGUUAAUAUAUGAUGGUGUAUGUCGUUUGAACAGACAAGACCAAAGAGCUGUUUGGCCGUAAGUACCAUGUUUGACAUUUGUUCAACAGCUAAAACUUGUCCUGAAUUGGGUCAUGCAAUUGAUCAU
Long non-coding RNA from Oreochromis niloticus (Nile tilapia), 2318 nucleotides. RefSeq lists it as uncharacterized. NCBI's taxonomy places the organism in Eukaryota, Metazoa, Chordata, Actinopteri, Cichliformes, Cichlidae. The transcript has 3 exons. The record is from RefSeq and is a predicted model, not a curated record.